UUUUUUUUUUUUUUUUUUUUUUGUCUUACUAGUCCAGCUCUCAAAUAUGUAAAUAUACAUUUUUAUUUACAUAUUGUGACAAAAAUAGAUAAUUUACAUUAAUCAUUAGAGAGCUUUACGUGCGAAAAAAAAUAUAAAUUGUUCAUUUCAAGACAUUUUGCAUCUCUAUUAGAGACUAAUUGAGUCUAAAAGUUAUUUGUUCGCCAAAACAUUUGGCCUGAAAAUUCCGUGUCUUUUCCUAGCUAGCUAACUUGUUCAUUCAGUUGUGUGAAGAUAUAGAGUCGUUGGAUCGUGACAAGUGUCAACGGAUGGAGGAAUAAGUUUGUUAUGGUUUCUUAAGGUAGUUAAAAACAGUUAAUAGAAGAUUACUUAAUGUGUAAGGAAAGAUUACUUGAGGUGCAAGGAAAGUUAGGGUAUAUAUAUACUUGUAUUAUGUGCUGUAAGAAUUAUCCUUUGAAUACAAGAAAGAACAAUUCAGUUGUAAUUCUCUCUCUAUAGUUUCUUCUCUUUCUCUCUCUAAGAAUAUAUAGAAAACUCCAUUGAUGUUCAUCAAAGGUUGAAGGUUAACAGUAUAUAUAUGUGUUACGUUCUCUCUGUAAAUCCAUUGGAAUUUCUGUUGUUCCUUCAUCAACCAAGAACAGAUUACGUAAGCAUCAACCAAGAACAGAUUACGUAAGAGAAAUAGUUAAGUUUAGGUUUUGAGUCUCUUUGUUUUCGUAAAUAUGUCUGUGGCUUCUGUCGGAAUGGGUGCUCUGAGAAUGGCAUUUCAAAAACUGUUUGAUGCUGUAAAAUCAGUGCAGGAGGAGACCACAGUGUUCGAGCACCUCCUUGGAGACAUCAAAUCCACUCUGGACUCUCUACAGCCACUCAUCAAAGACAUCGAAAAAUAUAACUCGAAAGAGGGACUGGAAUAUAUUGCAAUACAAAUGGAGGAGGGAGCAAAUCUUGUUCAAAAGUGCAGCAAAGUUGGCGUGUGGAGAAAAUACAAAUACACCAACAAGCUUCAUCAACUGGACAAAUCUCUUCGAAGAGUGUUUGAUCUACUCAAAGUGCAGAGCAUAAUGGAUGCGAGGGAGACAUUGGUUUCUUUGAGGAAUAUCGAGAUGGCGCUCUCUGGAAUAGAAGAGAAUAUGGUGAUCAAAAUUAAUCACCCUGAAAAGGUUGAAUGUUUGUCUGCUGUGCCUGAACCACCAUGCAUUACAGUCGGGUUGGAUUUGCCGUUGAAGGAGUUGAAGAUGAAGCUUCUCAAGGAUGAAAAGGUGUCGAUGCUUGUGCUGACUGCUGCUGGAGGAUGUGGGAAAACCACCUUAGCUAAAAUGUUUUGUCAAGAUCAAGAAGUCAAAGGUAUGCUAUCUAUGAUUUCGAACUUUUUUUUCGUUUGUGAAGUGUUACUUCCUAGCUAGUUAAAAAGUAUACUAUGCACUAGGGCAAAGACCCCUGUAAAACGCCAGCCAGUCCCUCCAAACAUCCACACCACCAAAAACUUGUUAAAGAGAAUACAAGGUACAACGAAGGGGACAUGAAACUAAACCGUGCAAAAAUUAAGAAAGAUCACAAAUUCUUCUGCAUAUAGCUUCAUCUAAAGGCAUAAAUCUCGCAAGGAGCUCUUGCUUGACCACAUAAUUACCUGAUCUGAGAAUUGCAGAUAUAUCUAGUCAACCUUUAUCUUAACACCUUUCUUACAUUUUGUUUGGAUAGAUACAUUCAAGAACAACAUCUUCUUUGUCAAUGUCUCGAAAAAUCCCAACUUGGACCUUAUUGUACAUGAACUAUAUCAACGGAAGGGGUCCGAGCUGCCUGCUUUCCAAAACGAAUUCAUGGCAGUUAAAUGGUUGCAAAAUUUUUUGAAGGAAUCAAGACACAACCCUCUGUUGUUUGUCCUGGAUGAUGUUUGGUCAGGAUCAGAGUCCCUUCUUGAUAGGUUUGAUCAAUUCAAGUUUUCAAAUUACAAGAUUUUGGUCACAUCAAGAUUUGCAUUUUCGAGAUUUGGUUCUCCAUACCAUUUGGCAUUAUUGAAUGAUGAGGAUGCAAUGACUCUUUUUCACCAUUCAGCAUCCUUGGAGGAUAAAAGCUCUUAUACUUCCGAAGAUCUUUCGAGAAAGGUGAUUUCUUAUUUUGCAAUGCAUAACAUUUGAUCAUCCACACGUUAACACUUCCAUUUACCGUCUUAUAAUUAGAAUGGGAGUAGACAUUUAACAAUUUUACCAUCUUUGUUCAACCAUUUAGAUGAUUUACAACAAUUUAACCAAAUUGUAACUGAAUUCAUUCGGAAUAAUUAAAUUGCAGAUUAUCAAGUGCUGUAAGGGAUGCCCACUUGCCAUUGCAUUGGUCGGGAGGUCACUUCGCAGCCAGCCUAUAGAAAUCUGGCAGAAAAGAGUGCUGGAAUGGUGCAAAGGUUCAUCUAUUCUUGAUUCUGACAAGGAUCUGCUUGCUUGCCUCCAAAGCAGCUUAGAUGCCUUGGAUAAAGAAAAGACAAUCAUCAAGGAAUGUUUCCUCGAUCUAGGUUCAUUUCCCGAGGACCAAAGAAUUGCUGCUGCCGUCCUCAUUGACAUGUGGGCGGAGUUAUAUGGUCUAGAUAAAGAAAUUCUGACCAUUGCCAACCUUCACGAACUCACCACUCGAAGUUUGGCAAAUCUUGUUGUCACAAGGUAUGCACGCUGCUCAAAGUUUUCUAUUCCAAUAUGCAUACCGAACAAAUCAUGAAUGAAAUUAGUAUUGAUCAUCCAGGCAUGAGAGGGAGGCGGACGGCUAUUACACUGAACACUUUGUCACCCAGCAUGAGAUGCUUAGAGAAUUGGCGAUCCAUCAGGCAAGUCAAGACCCAAUAGACCAGAGGAAAAGACUAGUUAUAAACAUAUGUGGGGAUAAUCUUCCCAAGUGGUUGACGGAACAAAAGUAUCAAGCUUUCAAGGCUCGACUAUUAUCUAUCUCCACAGGUUCCAUCAAUCUCUAUACUAAAUACUUGUACAUGCACACACGUAUGUGUGCACACACAGACGGUCAUUCAUACUAAGACUUCAAUAGACUUGGGCACAUUUAAUUCAACCCAAACUAAUCUUAAGGCAUGUUGUUUGCAGAUGGAGCCUUCUCAGCAAAAUGGCCAAACAUGCAAGUACCCGAAGCAGAGGUUCUAGUUCUGAAUUUUCAAACAAACAACUAUGCCUUACCUGAGUUUGUGGUGAAUAUGGAUAAACUAAAGGUUCUAAUAAUCACAAAUUACGGUUUGUCACCUGCUGAAGUAGAUAAUUUUGAACUACUUGGCUCGUUAUCAAAUCUUAAGAGAAUUAGAUUAGAACGCAUUUCAAUUCCCUCCAUAAGCAAGGUCCUCAAACAGUUGAAAAGUUUGCAAAAGAUGUCUCUUUUCUUGUGCGAUAUCAGUCAAGGUUUCGUCCAAAUUUUAGAUGCACUGCCAAAUCUAGUGGAAUUGAACAUAGAUUAUUGCCACGACCUGGUGGAACUUCCUGCCAACCUUGGUGACCUUAUUCACCUUACAAAGCUUAGCAUCACCAACUGUCAUAAGCUAUCCACGUUGCCUGAGGACAUCGGAAAGUUAGUCAAUUUAGAAGUGUUGAGGCUUAGGUCAUGUGCAGACUUGUUAGAGUUGCCACGCUCGAUUAGGAACCUUAAUAAUGUAAAACUUUUCGACAUAUCUGAUUGCUUUAGCAUAAAGGAGUUGCCCGAGGAUAUUGGUGCAAUGCGCAGUUUGGAAAAGAUCAACGUUAGCCAGUGCUCAGGAUUGAAAGAGCUGCCUGCUUCUGUUUUGGAUCUUGAGCAGUUGAAUCAAGUGAUAUGCGACGAGGAGACGGAAACUUUAUGGGAACCGUUCUUACCAUAUUUGACAGACAUACACAUAAAGGUGAUCAAAGAAGUUAUGAACCUAAAUUGGCUCAACAAGCUUCCUGGAGGCCAUGGUCUUUGAUCAAUGAAUGUUGGUGCAAUGUGAUUGUGUUUAAUGUUUUUUUUAUGCAGUGUGAUUGUGUUUAAUUAUUAUUUUUCUUUCGUAAUUUACUUCUGUUUUAUGUUAUAGAUGUUUGUCAAAAACAUUGCAGCACUGUAGAAAAAUUGUAAUAAUUCACAAUGGGUAGCGACUUUCACACCCCGUUUUCUCUUCUACACUCCUCACUGUUGAACUCUUCCUUGAUUCUCCUUCAAUUUAUUCAAUUGAACAGCUAGAAUAACAGAGGGAAGUGCAUCGAAAUAAAAGGAGAGUGCAUAAAUCACUACCCGUUACGAAAAAGAAUGUACUAAUCUAUGUAUGUGUGGGCUUUCCUGCCUUUCCACUGUUUUUUUAGAAGACUGGAUAAGAUCACAACCAGGGCAAGAGCCAAUGGAACAAAGAAAGUUUCCACUGUUUUGUGGGUGAUUUUCCUCACAAAGCAAGUUUCCUAGAAAUGGCAAAUUAUUGGUUUUAGUUGCAGUCUGUUUCCUUCUUUUCCUUUAUGCUUUUGCUUCUUUAUCUCAAGCAAACUAUUGGGUAGUGUCUGCUUAUACUUAAAAAUUAAAUAAUUUUAUUGGGAUACAAAAACUAUAAAAUAGAAUGAAAUAUAAAUUAUAAAGUAUUAGAACAUAAUGAUCAAUGAAAACAUGGGAUCAAAUAUAUAAUGUGUGUUCAUACACUACAACAAAAAUGGCCACUACGCACAAUAAAUUAUAUGUGCCCCUUGAGGCCAAAAAGCACCAAUAAUUGUGUUCAUAGACCAAUAGCAACAGUGCAGCUACUAUCUUUGUGUCUGUGCCCUCUACAGGCGUCACCAUUGCUGAAAGAGCACAAUAGUGUAUUUGUGCCAAAGAGGCAAGCACAAACAGCGGUCCAUUUGUGCCCCAUUCUGACAACUUUUUCAUAUAAGCUUUUCCAGCCAUGUUAGCACUUAUAUUAUAAUUGUGCCAACAUGAAUUAAUUAAUAAAAAAAUAAAAAAUUUGAAAAAUUGAAACUAAUUAAAUUGAGGAAAUGAAAAAAAAUUAAAUUUUCAUGAAAUGAAGAAAGCCUACAACCAUGAAACCAAGUUUCACUUUCUGAAUCUCACAAACAUAUAUUGUAAUGUUACAUAUCUUCUCUCUAAUACAAAAAAAAAAAACUUGAAGGCAAACAUUUUUGGACAGAUGCAUCUUCCCUAGCAGGCCUUGCACUUCAUCAAAUCUUUGCUGCUCCAAAAACGAAUUAACCAGAUGACAUGCAGUAUAUGGACCCUCACAGAAAUCAUGAAUAUCAAAUGCAAAGAUAAAGAAAACCACACAAUUUACAAGAGCCAAGAAAAUGAAGGGAUAAAGAAAGUAAGAAGGGAAUACCUUUGGUUCCUCAUGAACUCGGGAUCCUGAAAAUAUAUAAAACUAAAACAAAAUAAACAAUAACUCAAAUCCAAAAAUAUAUAAACUCAAAUACCAAAAAGAACCACAAAUUUGUAUUCCCUUCUUACAUAAAGAUAAGUAUUUUGAAAUCUAAUUUUCAGCUUUAGUGAAGUCUUUCAUCUUUCCAUACGGAAAGAUAAGAUUCAUGGAGCUGUUUAGUUUCUUAAGACUGCGGGCAUUGGUAUGCAAUCAGUUUCAUAACGAUCAAUAAUUUCAACAACCUGACAGAAACAUCAUUUUCCUGAUCAACUACAUGUAGUACUAGAAAAGAAAAAAUAGAUUAUGCAGAGAAUUGGGUUUAAAUCAGCCAUACAUCUCGAGAAGCAAAAAGGGAAGCAACUCCGAUGGGAAUGAAUACAGUGCUUACAAGCAUGAAUGCUGAGAUCACCUGCAAGAACAAGUGCGCACACACACAACGAGAUAAGGCAAGAAUUCAACUAAAAAUCUAACAUGCGAAUGUGGAUGGCCUAACUAAGGAGAUAUCGAAUACAAUACUAUAAAACCUACCCAUCGUGGCGUGAGAAUUGGCUUACACGCUGGAAGUUCCUGCUGAGUAAAUCUUGAAUCUGAAAAGAUCAAGUUUACAACAUUUUUAGUUUACAAUUGAUAGAAAGGCUACUAAGAAUCAUAUGAAAUGCAACGGAUGACAUAAAGUCGGCUUUGUCCAUGCCGACCUAGUCCUGCACCUUAUCAAGUGAACCAACGGAAAAACAAUGGAAAAGCUUCCUCUACAUAUCAACAUCUUAGAUUACAUAAUUUCAGAUUUCACACAUUGGCUGAAAUCACUCACUAUGUUUGUGGCACAUCCAUCUAACACUUAACUCAUUCAAGCUCAAAGAUCAGACCAAAACAAUUUUUUUUUAUUAUACAAGUGAUAUCCUACUCUACACGGAAGAGACGUAGUGGGUUGAAGAGGAAGACUCUAUGAACUAAGGCAAUCCACCACUAGUGAUCAGACAAACACAAUUAAGAAGAUUGAUUAUAUUCAAAAUUAUAAUGUACAGAAGUUUGAGAGAGAAAAAUGAGCCUCAUUUUCCCACUCUACACAAAUGAAUCACAACAAUGACUACUCCACAAGAUGAAACACACACACUAUAACCAAACAACCCCUUAGCAAAUAACUUGGUGGUUUUAAGAAAAUUAGAAUUUCUGCAUUGUAGGAAACCAAAGAAGAAUACUCCGAAUUUCAACCAGCAUAAGGUUUCAUAACUCUAAUUGUCGCAGCGUGUCAAUAAGGAGCCACUGCUUCUGCUUGAGCAGCUCUGGCCAUAACCACCUCAUCCCAUGGAUCAUCACCAACAACCUGCCAUAACCAUCGCCACGAUCAACUUCAUCACCAGCUCCGGCUUCAUCACACUCAUCGACGCCACCGCUAAUCCGCUUUUCGCCAUCCCAUACACCGCUCUCAUACUUGCAAAACACACAAAACCUGAACAAAAUCAUACGUUUCUUAGACCUGAAAUUGAAGAAAUUUGGCUAUGAAUUUGUAGAAACUAACUUGAGGAUCGGAAUGAGGAUGGGAAGAGGAUUAUGGAGGUAUAAUUUGAUGCUCUUUGAUGACCGGUGGAAGGCAACGCUGUUGGCCGUAAGAGAAGAGGGAGAAAAAAUGAUGCGGAGAGAGAGUGAAGGGGAAAGGAGGAGAGAGAAUGGAGGGGAGAGAGAGCAAGGAAGUUUGUGAAAGGGGAGAGAGAGGGUAACCUUUGUUUUUUCAUUCUUUUUUAUAUUGUUAUUUUGCACAAAAGGCACGAUAUUAUUAUAUGUGCCCAUUGAAAUCUAUAAAGUACACAGUGCAAAUAAUUCAAAAUGUAUAUUUGAUUUAAAUAUAUUAAAUCAAAGGGCACAAAACUCCGGUAUGUUACCAUGAGGUUGGAGUUGCACGGCUCACGAUUCGCCACAUCUGGGUGUGUAACUCUUGGCAGACAAUUCUUAGUUAAAAUCACUUUUGAAAUUGAGUGAGAGAUUCAUAGUGUCCUUAGUUAAAAUUACUUUUGAAACUUGGGGUGAGCGAUUCAAGGUGUUUUCAAUUGAGCUAACAUUUGACUUUGGGUAUCAUGGCUUGUGAUUGAAGUUGAACAAUUGAUUAGAGAAAAUAUUUUGGGCUUCAUUAUUUCUAGACAAAAAUUGCAAAGGAAAAUUUGGAGAUGGAAGGGAGGCUUGUGACAUUGUUAACCCUUGAGAAAUAUAUAUUGGUAGCUUUUGUAAAGGCACAAAAGCCAUUUUGUGUCACACAUAGUAUAUUUAAUUAAUAAAGUUUCAUUAUUAUAAAUAUGGACACAUGCAAUUGUGCUUAUAAAUUCUAUUUAUUGCACAAAAAGUCUUUCGUGCCUGUUUCCAUGCCCAAUAAUGUGUUUGUGUCCCUUUUUUUCUACAUUGGGCACAAUAUAUGGUGGCCUUUAUUGAAUGGGCACUUUUUCACCUUAUUGGUGUUCAAAGAGGCACAAACUCCUCAUCUGUGUCCUUAAUUUUGUACCCAAAGCCCAUUUUUCUUGUGGCGAUAGCUAUUUAACAAGUCUCUUCAAUUUAUUGAAAAAAUAAAAAAAUAAAAAAAAAGCUAUCUAUUUUCGGUCUAAGUAAGAGUUGCUACUUAAACGGGUUUGGGCGGGCUUGGCAAGUCUAAGUGUCCUUUUUUAAUUUUUAACGCCUAAGGAUUAUUGGAGAACUGGCCAGUCGCUUAGACCAUUUCCAAUCGAAGGAUCCAGAGGGCCAAAUGGUCAAAAAUGGCCUGAAAACCCUCUCCAAUCGAGGGCCAGGCCAAAGAGCUCGUGGACCCCACUAAACAAAAAAGGGCCAACCGGGCGGCCCAAAUGAGCCAGCCAGUCAGGCCAGGAUUCAAAAAACCAACGGCUAUCUGCUGACGUUAGCUAGCCGUUAUUUUUUAUUUCCUUUUUUUGCAGUUUUUUUUUUAAACAAAAUUUUUUUAUUUUUUUUUUAAUUCUAUUUUUUCCCUAUAACUUCCUAAACUAUUAUACAACAUUAAAUUAAAUUAAGUAACAUGAAACAACAUUAAACAAUAUGAAACAACAUUAAAUAACAUUAACCAAUAUAAAAAUUAUACAACAUGAAAAAUUAAACAACAUUUUUAAAAACAUUUAACAACAUAAAACUUAAACGCCUAUUCCAUGCUUCUUUUGGGCCAAAGAUGUGCAACAAGAUCCUGUUGUAGGUACUUGUUUGUGGCACGGGAAUGUAUCAUCAUAUAGCUAUAGCGCCUCAUGUACUCAUUUAUAGAGAUAUUACUAAUUCUUGGAUUGAAAGGCAAAUUAGGCUCAUCAUAUAUUUUUGCACGAGCCCUUCUUGACCUAUUUGGAUCCUCUUGGUCGUCGUCGAACUCUCCAUCAAUAUACCCAUCUCGAUCAUCCUCCACAAUCAUGUUGUGUAAUAUGAUGCAAGACAUCAUGAUGGAGUCCAAAUUUUCUCGACUCCACCCUUUUGCCAGUUCCUUAAUGAUCUUCCACCGUGCUUGUAGAACACCAAAAGCUCUCUCAACAUCUUUUCGGUAUUCCUCUUGGUGUAAGGUAAAACACUUUUCGGCAUCAUUUUUAAGGUUUGUAAUUGCUUGGACUAGUGUCACCCACUUUGGGUAAAUGUCAUCUGCCAAGUAAUACCCCAUAUUGUACUGACAGUCGUUGAUGUAGUAGUCAAGUGGAGGUGAUUUACCUUCCGUCAGGUUAUUGAAGAGGGGGUGAAUGCCCAAGAACUGUAAUGUCAUAAUGUGACAUCCCACAUCACCCAAGGGAAUGAUCCUUCAAUGUAUAUUAUCAUCCCUACCAAGCACGAGGCCUUUUAGGAGCUCAUUGGCUUCGGGUUCCAUUGGAACUCCGAAGUUAAGCGAGUAGCGCGCGAGAGCACUCCCAUGUUGGGUGACCCACUGAGAAGUUCUCGUGUGAGUUCCUAGAAACAAAACCGUGAGGGCGUGGUCGGGGUCCAAAGCGGACAAUAUCGUGCUACGAUGAUGGAGCGAGCCCAGGACGUGGUGGACCCUGGGCCGGGAUGUGACACAUAAGUUGUAGUUUUUAAAUUUAAGUUGUUGUAGUUUUUAAAAGUUAUUGUAGUUUUUAAAUUUAAAUAAUAAAUUAUGUUUGGCCCUCGGUUGGAGACCCUUUUUUGUGACAGGGCUAAAACGAGCAUAUGACCAUUUGGCUCUCGGUUGUAGAUGGUAAGAGAUAUGACCCUACACUGUUUAUUAAAAUAUUAAUUUCUUGAAGGGCCAAAGGGUUAAAAUGAGCCCUCUAACCCUCAUUCGGUUGGAGAUGGUCUUAGCGCCUAGGCAGCGCUAGGCAAAGAUUUUUAAAACAUCAUGAGUCAUUAACCUACAAAGUUUUGCAAACAACAUAUUCUUUUAUCAUUGAAUAUGAAUAUACAUUGUGUUUGGUUUGAAUUUAUUGAUAUAUUGUUCUCUUCUCGCCUUCCAUACUUAUCUUAAGACUUAAAGAGUAGUCUCUCCCAAUGCAGCCGAGUUUCAAUUUCUCCCCGCAGAUUAAAUUAGUUCAAAGGCAAAUUAUCUCUAGUAUAUAGAAAGUAGGUUCUUCGUUGUUUCAAAUGCAUUUGUGAUCCAAAACUUUUGCUCUCUUGUUUAGAAGUUUAGAUUUUCAGAACUGGGUGGUGGUUGUAAUUGUGGAAGUAGUUACGGUAUUUGUAGGUUCUGCCAUUUGAAUUGCUGUUUGAUGCCGCCAUAAAAGCGCAGGAGACGGCUGAGAUGUUUCCAACUCUCCACAGUGAUCUCAGUUCCACGCUAGAGUCUUUUAGGCCACUGAUCUCAUAGAUAAACCAAACCGGAACCAUUUCGGUUUCUGAAAGGUUUACAAGAAGAAUGGAGGAUGGCAAGCAGCUCGUCAAAAGGUGCGACAAGGUUUCCCCCCGAGAUGCUGAACUUGUUGGAAAAGCGCAAAUAUGAGAAAAAAUUGUUAAAUUGGAUAAAUCUCUUCAAAGACUCUCGCGUCUGCAGAAUCUGCAAUUAGGAGCUACUUCUGCGGUGGUGCUCCACCGAAUUGAUGCAAAUCUUGUGGCGCAAAAUAAAAACCAAAACCAAAACCUUAUUACAACAUGAUAUGUAGUUCCUGACCUUCCAUCCAAUACAUUAUACACUUCUACUGGAUGAGCCUUUGGCGGAGAUGAAGAUGAAACUCCUUAAGGAUGACGCGGGGUCAAUGCUUGCGCUCACUGCUCCGGGAGGAUGUGGGAAAACCACUGUGGAAAAUAUGUUUUGUCAAAGGUAUCUAUCUAUAAAGUUUUUAUACAUUGCGGCAAGCAUUUUUUGGAUGCGGACACUCGAUAUUGUUGAUAUAAUUGGUAUAGCGCACUUACAAUUGUCAAUGCGUGGUCGAUAUUUUGUCCGCAAGGGCAGUUAAUCAAAACGUAGGACUGCUAUCUGUAUACUAAUUAUAUCGGUUUCCUUUUCUCUCUUUUUUCUUCUGAUUAGUAAUGUUUUCAAUUCUCUGUGUUUUCUUGGCUAGAUAAAUUCAAGCAGAAUAUCUUCUUUGCCACGGUUUCAAAUAAGCCCAGUUACCUUGUCCAAGAAUUGUGUCAACACGCCGGAUUCACGGUACCUGCUUAGAAAAUGAAGAAUUUGCAUUUAGCCGGCUGCCGCGGUUUUUCAGUGAAGCAGGGCAAAAUCCUUUGCUGUUAAUCUUGGAUGAUGGUCGGUCUGGAUCAGAAUCCCUUCUUGAUGAGUUUGAUGAAAUCAAAAUGCCAAAUUACAAGAUUUUGGUUACAUCAAGUAUCACUUUCCGAAAUUCAGGCUUCCAUAUAAUUUGCAAGCAUUGACAGAUGAAGGUGCAGUGCAGUGACUCUUUUUCGUCGUUCAGCAUUCAUGCCAAAUACGAGCUCUAACAUACCAGAUUAUCUUCAGAAAGUGGUUAUUUAUUAAUAUGAAUGUCAAAUAUAUAUGCUUAUUUGGAUCGCAAACGGAGAAAAUAAAUUAUGUUCACUUUUUAUCUGAAUCAUCUAUGUACACCAGUGAAGUGUCGGUUUUACCACAUCUGUAAAUAGUUAUUGACUUCACUUUGGAAAAUUGGACGUUGCUGUAAAAAAUUUCUACUGGCCAUUGCAACUAUAGGACCCUCACUUCGCAAUCGCCCUAUAGAGAUAUGGAGAAAAAAGACGAACCCAAUUGUCCACAGAUUCUUCCAUUCUUGAUUCAGAGACUAGCUUGCUUGAUCACCUCAAAAGUUGAUUAGAUGACUUGUAUAAAGGACUGGCUCUGGCUGCUGUAAAGGAUUGUUCAUAGACCUUGGUUUAUUUCCCGAAGACCAAAGAAUCGCCGUUGCUGCCAGCCUUGAUAUGUGGGCUGAGUUAUAUGAGGGAUCAGCUGACAAAGUGUCAAUGGCGAACCUCUACGAGCUCACCAUCCGUAAUUUGGCCGGUCUUGUAGUCACAAGGCAUGGAAAUUUUACUUUUAUAACUAAUUUACUAUUGUGAUAUGCACGUUUCAGAAAUUUCUUCUAUGAAACUAAAUUUUGAUAUCACAACCAGGAAUUAGGAUUUGGAUGGCUACUAUGGUGAACACUUUGCUAUCCAACAUGAUAUGCUUAAAUUGCUAUCAAUUCAUGAGAUUCGUGAAGACCCGAUAGGACAUAUAUAGACUGAUUAUAGACAUACGAGGAGAUGAGCUUCCACGGUGGUGGAUAGAGAAGCAGCAGAAAACAAAGAAGCUCGCUUAGUAUCUGUCUCAUGUUGGUAUCUGUGAUCUCUCUUUCCUUAAAAAAAUAGAUACAUACACAUGUACAAUCACGUACGUACAAGCUCACAUACGCACUUCCACAUUAAUUUCUCCCCACACUCGCAUCAUAUAGCACAUUGUUUUCAGACAAAUCGUUCUCAACAAACUAGAACCUCGACUAUUGUAAUGAUUUGCUGAAAUUGCCUGUGAAGCAGUGCGAUCUUAUCUGCCAGCAUCAACAACUGUCAUAAGUGUUGAGGCUAAGGUCCCGCAGAGACCUGGUAAAGCUUCAGGUCUCGAUUGAAAAACUCACUAACUUGUGCUUUCUUGACAUAUAGAAUUGUUUCGGCAUUAAGGAGUUGCCUGAAGGCAUCGGUAACAUGAGUGGUUGAAGAACGAUCAAUGCACAAUCCUCCAUCAGUGUUUGAUCUUGAUCUGCAGUUAGAGAAAGUGAUAUGGGACGAAGACAAAAGAAAUUUACGGGAACCUGUCUUAUCAAAUAUCGACAAAAUAACUGUGGCCAAAGAAGAAACCAGCCUGGAUUGGCUCCACAAACUUCAAAUUUGAGAGCUGUGUUUACUCACUACAUGAGAUGUUGCAUAGCAAAGACAAUAAACUAGGAUGAGACGAUUUCAAUAUACAACAUCGGUCCAUGGACUAGUGUUUUCUGGUUUUCUUCUUUUACCUUUUGGGAAUCAUUUUCGCAUGUCGCCUUUCGCCUUCUAUUUUGUAACUAAAUUCUCUUUUGAUUUAUUCAAUCUAAAAGUAUAUGUAGGAUGCUAAUAACUUGGAGCCAAAGGCAAAGCUAAUUGAUUAGGCAAUUGAUUCUCGUUAUUGAACUUGGGAUAUUUGUGUAAUUUGACACGAUAGUUUUCUUUUAUAACAAACGAUAUUAUCUAUAUUAAAGAGGAGGGGUAAGCUUAGCUUCACGAUGAGCUAACAAUAAUGUGGUUCAAAUUCGUCUUUGGUGAGAAUCGAACCUAAGAUCUCUCACUUACAUAUGAAGAGGAAUUCCACUAGACGUAAUAGGUUGUCAUGCUCACAUCACAUGUAAUAAAUGAAAUUCUCUAAUAAAAGUGGCCAUGCCGUACAUGUAAUAGAAGAAAAUCUCUAAUAAGAAUUCUCUCAUUUUUCUCUCAAACUAUUUUCCUCUGCAAACUUUUGUCAUAACGGAAUCAAAAUCACAAGAAAAUAUUCACCCAAAGCCCUAGAACAUUUUUUUCAGCUACAUUAGCUGCAAGGAAAAUAAAAUAAAAAUUCAUUUCAGAUCGUCGCAAAACCCCUAUUGGAGCCAGUCAAUUUGUCGCGAAAUUUAAAGAGUCCUCUGUUGCUGGGGUCCUUGACCUACCGCCGCAAAAGCUCUACUUGGGGCAGUUUUGUCCAACGCGUUUAUUUACUCAACUUUGUGCCUACUGAAUCUUCGGCGACAACAAUCGGUUUUGUGUUGGGGACAAACUUCUUGAAAUGGUCGAACUCGAAUCCCCUCAAAGACAGUAGUCAAGAAACCAAAUUAACAAGGCAGGAGAGGAAUAUCUUUGGGUUCGGCAGCAUAUAAAAACGAUGGUUGAGAACCAAUUAAAAAAAAAAGGGAAUUACAAGACCUAUGCAAAACCGCUAAAUAAAACAACAAUCACGCCUUAUCCCCACUAAGUAGUGUCAGCUAUAAAAAGAGGUUUAACAACAUGAAGAGAGGGUGUGGAUUAUCAUGUAUCGAUAGAAUAUCCGCCACUUACCACCCUCACAAACAGAUUAACAAUUCAAAAACAAAUUUACUCCCCAGUAAAAAUAUACAACUAGGUUUAUAAAUAUACGACAGACAGACUCCAACCUCCAACUUCCAAGGAGAGUAUAUGAGAUGAUAUAGCAUAGAGCCUUCAAUCCCCCUAUCUGAUUUUCUAUGCUAAUAAUCUAUCACACACUCUAUUGCACAUUCUCUGUUUUUUACUAGUUUUUCACCAACGGUAACAACUCUUUCCAACUAACAACAUCGCGUACUUGAAUUAA
Molecule: long non-coding RNA, 14009 nt
Filed under: Malus domestica (apple)
Lineage: Eukaryota; Viridiplantae; Streptophyta; Magnoliopsida; Rosales; Rosaceae
Source: RNAcentral